UACGGAGGGUGCGAGCGUUAAUCGGAAUUACUGGGCGUAAAGCGCACGCAGGCGGUUUGUUAAGCUAGAUGUGAAAGCCCCGGGCUCAACCUGGGAUGGUCAUUUAGAACUGGCAGACUAGAGUCUUGGAGAGGGGAGUGGAAUUCCAGGUGUAGCGGUGAAAUGCGUAGAUAUCUGGAGGAACAUCAGUGGCGAAGGCGACUCCCUGGCCAAAGACUGACGCUCAUGUGCGAAAAUGUGGGUAGCGAACAGG
Molecule: ribosomal RNA, 253 nt
Filed under: uncultured bacterium
Lineage: Bacteria
Description: partial 16S ribosomal RNA
Rfam family: Bacterial small subunit ribosomal RNA
Source: RNAcentral